Molecule: ribosomal RNA, 478 nt
Filed under: uncultured bacterium
Lineage: Bacteria
Description: partial 16S ribosomal RNA
Rfam family: Bacterial small subunit ribosomal RNA
Source: RNAcentral
GACGAACGCUGGCGGCGUGCUUAACACAUGCAAGUCGAACGGUAAGGCCCUUCGGGGUACACGAGUGGCGAACGGGUGAGUAACACGUGGGUGAUCUGCCCUGCACUUCGGGAUAAGCCUGGGAAACUGGGUCUAGUACCGGAUAGGACUCCUGCCUGCAUGGGUGGGGGUGGAAAGCUUUUGCGGUGUGGGAUGGGCCCGCGGCCUAUCAGCUUGUUGGUGGGGUGAUGGCCUACCAAGGCGACGACGGGUAGCCGGCCUGAGAGGGUGACCGGCCACACUGGGACUGAGAUACGGCCCAGACUCCUACGGGAGGCAGCAGUGGGGAAUAUUGCACAAUGGGCGCAAGCCUGAUGCAGCGACGCCGCGUGAGGGAUGACGGCCUUCGGGUUGUAAACCUCUUUCAGCACAGACGAAGCGCAAGUGACGGCAUGUGCAGAAGAAGGACCGGCCAACUACGUGCCAGCCGCCGCGGUAA